RNAcentral lists this small nucleolar RNA (252 nucleotides) under Spathaspora passalidarum NRRL Y-27907. The record is from RNAcentral. Lineage: Eukaryota; Fungi; Ascomycota; Pichiomycetes; Serinales; Debaryomycetaceae.
AACUUUGUCCAAAAGUUAUCCAUCACUUAGACAGUGCAUUGUAAUGAACUUCACAUGAAUCAUUCCAUGACGGCACUGCUGCAUUCCAGUUCUUGGCGUGUUUGUGUUUGUUGUGGUUUUGAAUCAGUGGUGGUUAUGUCAAUCAAUAUCAAAUGCGAUGUGUUGAUGGAGAGAAUAAAUGUACUUAUUGUAUCUUUAAGAACCUGUCUGGAAAUUAUGAUGAAAGGGAGGUGUCAGAGGAUCCAUAUAUUU